RNAcentral lists this transfer RNA (73 nucleotides) under Planctomycetota bacterium. RNAcentral's name for it is "tRNA-Cys". It matches the Rfam family "tRNA". From Rfam's summary of the family: Transfer RNA (tRNA) molecules are approximately 80 nucleotides in length. Their secondary structure includes four short double-helical elements and three loops (D, anti-codon, and T loops). The record is from RNAcentral. Lineage: Bacteria; Pseudomonadati; Planctomycetota.
GUGCGGGUUGGCUGUGGCGGCCGGCGGGCCUGCAAAACCCGCUAUGCGGGUUCGACUCCCGCCCCGCACUCCA